GACGAACGCUGGCGGCGUGCUUAACACAUGCAAGUCGAACGGAAAGGCCCUGCUUUUGUGGGGUGCUCGAGUGGCGAACGGGUGAGUAACACGUGAGUAACCUGCCCUUGACUUUGGGAUAACUUCAGGAAACUGGGGCUAAUACCGGAUAGGAGCUCCUGCUGCAUGGUGGGGGUUGGAAAGUUUCGGCGGUUGGGGAUGGACUCGCGGCUUAUCAGCUUGUUGGUGGGGUAGUGGCUUACCAAGGCUUUGACGGGUAGCCGGCCUGAGAGGGUGACCGGCCACAUUGGGACUGAGAUACGGCCCGGACUCCUACGGGAGGCAGCAGUGGGGAAUAUUGCACAAUGGGCGGAAGCCUGAUGCAGCAACGCCGCGUGCGGGAUGACGGCCUUCGGGUUGUAAACCGCUUUCGCCUGCGACGAAGCGUGAGUGACGGUAAUGGGUAAAGAAGCACCGGCUAACUACGUG
This 468-nucleotide ribosomal RNA is filed under the name uncultured bacterium. RNAcentral's name for it is "partial 16S ribosomal RNA". It matches the Rfam family "Bacterial small subunit ribosomal RNA", at positions 28 to 507 of the family's 1533-position model. The record is from RNAcentral.